CCUGCCUCUGGGCUCCGAUCGGUCCUCCAGAGCGCGCGCCACCAUCGCCAAAGCCAGGUCGGCCUCCGCUCGGCUGCCGCCUCUCUACUACCCAUUACAAUGCUCGCCCAAAGCGCGAUGGCGGCGGAUUGCACGCGAGCAGGUACACACGGUAGAAACACCAGAGACGGCGAA
Non-coding RNA from Cricetulus griseus (Chinese hamster), 174 nucleotides. The record is from Rfam. Lineage: Eukaryota; Metazoa; Chordata; Mammalia; Rodentia; Cricetidae.